This 564-nucleotide ribosomal RNA is filed under the name uncultured Alphaproteobacteria bacterium. RNAcentral describes it as "bacterial SSU rRNA". It matches the Rfam family "Bacterial small subunit ribosomal RNA", at positions 335 to 915 of the family's 1533-position model. The record is from RNAcentral. Lineage: Bacteria; Pseudomonadati; Pseudomonadota; Alphaproteobacteria.
ACUCCUACGGGAGGCAGCAGUGGGGAAUAUUGGACAAUGGGGGCAACCCUGAUCCAGCAAUGCCGCGUGAGUGAUGAAGGCCUUAGGGUUGUAAAGCUCUUUUGGCGGGGACGAUGAUGACGGUACCCGCAGAAUAAGCCCCGGCUAACUUCGUGCCAGCAGCCGCGGUAAUACGAAGGGGGCUAGCGUUGUUCGGAUUUACUGGGCGUAAAGGGCGCGUAGGCGGUGCAAUAAGUCAGGCGUGAAAGCCCCGGGCUCAACCCGGGAAUUGCGCUCGAUACAGCGAGGCUAGAGUGUGGGAGAGGAUGGUGGAAUUCCCAGUGUAGAGGUGAAAUUCGUAGAUAUUCGCAAGAACACCAGUGGCGAAGGCGGCUCACUGGCCCGGUACUGACGCUGAGGCGCGAAAGCUAGGGGAGCAAACAGGAUUAGAUACCCUGGUAGUCCUAGCCCUAAACUAUGGAUGCUUGGUGUGGUGGGUACCCAAUCCCACCGUGCCGCAGCUAACGCAUUAAGCAUUCCGCCUGGGGAGUACGGUCGCAAGGCUGAAACUUAAAGGAAUUGACG